RNAcentral lists this ribosomal RNA (417 nucleotides) under uncultured bacterium. RNAcentral describes it as "bacterial SSU rRNA". It matches the Rfam family "Bacterial small subunit ribosomal RNA", at positions 356 to 773 of the family's 1533-position model. The record is from RNAcentral.
GGGGAAUCUUGCGCAAUGGCCGAAAGGCUGACGCAGCGACGCCGCGUGUGGGAGGACGCCUUUCGGGGUGUAAACCACUGUUGCCCGGGACGAAUUGCCUGGUUCGCCAGGCGUGACGGUACCGGGUGAGGAAGCACCGGCUAACUCCGUGCCAGCAGCCGCGGUAAUACGUAGGGGGCUAGCGUUGUCCGGAAUCAUUGGGCGUAAAGAGCGUGUAGGCGGUCCGGUAAGUCCGCUGUGAAAGUCGGGGGCUCAACCCUCGAAUGCCGGUGGAUACUGUCGGGCUAGAGUGCGGAAGAGGCGAGUGGAAUUCCUGGUGUAGCGGUGAAAUGCGCAGAUAUCAGGAGGAACACCAAUUGCGAAGGCAGCUCGCUGGGACGUAACUGACGCUGAGACGCGAAAGCGUGGGGAGCAAAC